GAAAUGCGAUAAGUAAUGUGAAUUGCAGAAUUCAGUGAAUCAUCGAAUCUUUGAACGCACAUUGCGCUCGCCAGUAUUCUGGCGAGCAUGCCUGUUCGAGCGUCAUUUCAACCAUCAAGCUCUGCUUGCGUUGGGGAUCCGCGGUUGCCCGCGGUCCCUCAAAAACAGUGGCGGGCUCGCUAGUCACACCGAGCGUAGUAACUCUACAUCGCUAUGGUCGUGCGGCGGGUUCUUGUCGUAAAACCCCCAAUUUCUAAGGUUGACCUCGGAUCAGGUAGGAAUACCCGCUGAACUUAAGC
This 299-nucleotide unclassified non-coding RNA is filed under the name plant metagenome. Its description in RNAcentral is "partial contains 5.8S ribosomal RNA, internal transcribed spacer 2, and large subunit ribosomal RNA". The stretch from base 1 to 105 matches the Rfam family "5.8S ribosomal RNA", at positions 50 to 154 of the family's 154-position model. The record is from RNAcentral.